Molecule: long non-coding RNA, 549 nt
Organism: Erpetoichthys calabaricus (reedfish)
Lineage: Eukaryota; Metazoa; Chordata; Cladistia; Polypteriformes; Polypteridae
Exons: 3
Source: RefSeq, a predicted model, not a curated record
UAAUAAAGGCGGCUUCUAGUGCUUUUUUUCCUUUGGGGGGUUUCGCUGAGUGUUUGUCCUUUUGUCUUAUCUGGAUGUUCUUCCUGCUACUGAAUUGUUGGAUGAAUCUCUUCAGAUCUACCUCGGCACUUAGAAACUCGGGCGCAAACCGGAGAGGGUAGGUCAGUCCGCUGAAUGUGGACGCAAGCGGCAAAGAGUACUGGAUAUUUUAUGACUGGAAAUUCAUCAACAUGCGUGACAGAAAAUCAUCUAAAAGGCCGUCUGUGACUUUGAAGCGAAGCAACAGCAUUGAUGGACACUGGAUCAGCUUCAAGUGCCCAUACAACCAGCCGUUGGUCUCGCCAGAAUCUGCACGAGUGAUAUCAGGUCAUGAGCUCCCCUCUGGACUUGUUAUCACUGGUGAAGGUGCACUAUGGGUCAAUCGACAGACAUGAUGGCUCCGUCCUCAGUAUGGAAAACACAGAAUGUAGAGAGAAAAGAAACUUGAAGUGAUUGGUAAAAUAAAGUGUAAUUACCUUUGAAGACAGUCAAUAAACACUUCCAACAGAA